Molecule: ribosomal RNA, 253 nt
Filed under: uncultured bacterium
Lineage: Bacteria
Description: partial 16S ribosomal RNA
Rfam family: Bacterial small subunit ribosomal RNA
Source: RNAcentral
AACGUAGGGUGCGAGCGUUGCUCGGAAUUACUGGGCGUAAAGCGCGUGCAGGUGGUCUUCUAAGUCCUAUGUGAAAUCCCUUGGCUUAACCGAGGAAUGGCAUAGGAAACUGAAAGACUCGAGUACGGCAGAAGUGGGCGGAAUUCCCAGUGUAGAGGUGAAAUUCGUAGAUAUUGGGAGGAACACCGGAGGCGAAAGCGGCUCACUAGACCGUUACUGACACUCAUACGCGAAAGCGCGGGUAGCAAACAGG